CGGUGACGGCUCGCAGGCCGGCGCGGCGGCGAGAAUCAGGAAGGGUGGCGGCGGAAAUCAGGUAGCCGGUCCAUGUCCACUCCGAUUUAGCCUCCUUCCCCAUCCGAUUUGGCCUCCUUCCUCUCCAAUUUUGCAAGGUGAGAAGAACUGUGCUGCAUAUGCUCAUGUUUACUCCAAUUUGACCAGGGGAUCUGCUGUUCAUUUAAUAUGAUUAGAGAAGAGCACACAUACACGAGAGAUGUACAUAUAUUAUCAUGAAUUAGUAGUUAUUACUUUAGGUGAAUCAUGUCUUGCCUUCUCUGAUUCUAGCCUGAAUUAAGUGUGAUAUACGGGUCGCUGUCACCGUCUCCCCAUUCCAGGACUGCCGCGCCGCCACCCCAAGGCUCAAAGCUGCACCAGCGAGAUGGUGUUGGUUGGCUCAUCCGCUGCUACCACAUCGGCGCCGAUACCUACUCCUUCCAAUAUGGCCGUGGUUUUCGUCUGCAUUCUCUCUAAUAUAUCCUACAUAUAUUGUUUAGAUUGAUUCAUGGGUUAAUUAAAUUCAAUCAUGCCUUGUUCUGUUUGUUUGCAGGCGAUGAGGUGAGCCUACCAUUUUCUUCCUGCUGCUCUUCCAUACACGAAUAUUUGGGAUGGUAUAACGUAGCUCCAAUUCAAUAUACAGUAAUUUUGAUGAUAUUUAUGUCUGACCAUAUGGGAGUAUGAAGACCCUAAAAUAGUUUUUCCUGCUGAGCUACUUGAAGACCAAAACAAUUUCACAUGGAACAUUUCGUAUAUGUACUUUACCUUGUCUAAUUUCAUUUGUUACAAUAGACUGUACUGUUCUAGAAUUUCCAUUUUAUAUCACAUGGGUGGGGUUCUUUCAGCAGUAUCAUGCCCUCUUAAGUGCGUCAGAUGUCUGGCUACCGGAAUAAUGUAUAUUUUGCCUUACCAGGUUAUCCUGUAUGUCGGUGAUAAGGUGCAUCAUCAUCCUCUCUGGAGAAUGGUGCAUGAAGAUAUCUACAAAUCUUCCUGCAUCAUCUGAUUCAAAUUUAUGUUCAUUUAAGUUUGCAUACUUUAUUUUCGAAUCUCCCUCAAUCGGGUAGCGCAUGCUAGCUAUUACAUAUGUUGUUCUUACAUUUCUCGGAAUAGCUUUGUUUUACUUGCCUUAGAUCAUUAUUUAUUAUAGUACUUUUAUAGUUAUUUUUGUGCACGGUCUAUAACUUCCUUUAUUUUUUAAUCAAUGCAGCUAUGAAUUACCAUUUGAUGUGAUCCUGACAAGUUAUGACAUAGCCUUAAAUCAAGACUUACCUUUCAGAAAUUCCCUGGCUCCAUGGUGAUUUAUGAGGCCAAGGGUCUUAAAAAUCCAUCAAUUGUAUUAUAUAGUGUCCUCAAAGGCCAUUUUAUGAUGACAAGGUGUCUACCACUAGAAGGCAUUACUAUGCAGAACAAACUUUCUGAACUAUGGGUGUAGAUGCCCUUCUACAUGAUAUGAGUUUCCGGGCCACUAGAUGAGCUUCUUUCUAUUUGCAAGGGAGCAGGUGAUUUGCGAGCAAGUAGGUUGUUCAGUGUGGUGAUGAUUGCGAGCAAAGAGGAAGGGGACGAGGAGGUGAAGAUGAGGGUGGUGGGUGCUUGUCGAUUGUGCCUGCCUGUCACCGGUUGGUCUGAGUGGAACUACUGCCGCAAUAUGCAAGAAGCAAAGGUGUGUCUAUGUCCCUCUACAUUUUCAUUGAUGCUCGCCUUGAUGUCUGCAUUGAUUCAUGUCAUUUCUUGGCCAUGCAUAUGGUUGAAAUCAUAUUAAGAUAAAGCAAGGAAAGCUAGAAGAU
Molecule: long non-coding RNA, 1802 nt
Organism: Lolium rigidum
Lineage: Eukaryota; Viridiplantae; Streptophyta; Magnoliopsida; Poales; Poaceae
Exons: 3
Source: RefSeq, a predicted model, not a curated record